RNAcentral lists this long non-coding RNA (1016 nucleotides) under Ananas comosus (pineapple). Its description in RNAcentral is "long non-coding RNA (ACOM_LNC000233)". The record is from RNAcentral. Lineage: Eukaryota; Viridiplantae; Streptophyta; Magnoliopsida; Poales; Bromeliaceae.
ACAAAUUUAUCAUAAAGAAGAAUUAUGCCUGGGUUGUCAGCUUAAAUGGACCAGCAUCCUGUUUUAUGACGGGAGGUUAUAUUGGGCCGAGUUAUAUUCGAAAUGGCGUGAGGCUACAUGGGCCGAGUCAUGUUCGAAGUGGUGUGAGGCUGGUUAAGCCAAGUCACAAUCAAAAUCCGUGAGCGCUAUAUCUGUACGCUGCUUUAAGUGAAUUGAUUGCGUAUUUUCUAACCGCUCGAACUUUUGGGAUUAAUGAUUAGUGCCAACGAUCCGACAACAAUGGAAAUAAAUAUUAAAAAUAUCGUUACGUAGCAGUUUAAAUUUUAGAAAAUGCUUAAUUAUAUUAUACUACACUAUAAUUUAUUGAUUUUUUUUUACUUUAAUUUUUUUUAAAUUCAAAGUUACUGCUUAAUAUUCUUGUUCUUUCAAUUCCUACACUAUAAGUAAUAAAAUUAUAUUUUAUAUACAAACUAUUAAAAAAUACGUUUUAAAAGUGGUGGAAUGUAUAUAUAUAUCCAACUAAUUUUGAUAUAAAAAUAAUAAAAUACAUAAAAAUAAUAAAAAAAAUAAAAUAAUUUGAUAAAAACUUUUAAUGAGUCUAUCCUAGAGAUUUAUUUCAUAUUUUUCUACUAUUUAACCCGUGUCUCUUAAAAAAGUUCUUAAAUUUUGUCUAAAACAAUAGAUUUAUUAAUAAUAAUGUAGAUAUUGGUGAGAAAAAAAUAGUUCUGUGAUAUUUAUGAAAAAAACUAGUACAAGAUAGAAAAAAAUAUAAACUAUGGUAUAGAAAUUGAUAGAAUACAAUAAUAUAAUGGUGUUUUUGAAAAAAACUAUUGAUGCAGUAUAGCAAACAAAAUUAAUACUAAAGUAUAGUGCAGUAGAGUGUAAUUCAGUAUUUAUAAAAUAAUGAUCGUUUUAACAUGAUAUCACGGUAGUAGGUUUUGAGAUUGAAACUCAAAAUUUUAUAUACAUUCACCUUUAAUUCAUAAUUGAAAUGUAAGUAUUUUCAAACAUUUUAA